AUAUUAUAGACAAUGACGUGGAUGGAGAGACUGUUGACAUCGGAAUGACUGAGUCUAUGAUUUCAUUCCUCUUUGAGGGAUCAUUUAAAAAAACAAGCAAAAUUCCAUGGAUUUGUUCAGCAGAUGAAGGAGAUAGUGACAUUAACUCUUGAACCUGUGCCUGAAAGCCAGUCAAGAGCUGGAGCAAGGUUACCACAGUGUAUGAAUUGACGACUAAGAUGAUCAAGUAAAGGUAAUAUCAGCCCGUCAACAGCUUUCCCUGAAUUUUUUGAAGUUCUGAAGUUCCCAUUUGAAGUUCAGGCCAAGUUGGACCGAAAAGAAUGCAGACUAACGUCAUCAGACCGAAACAAAAUUAUUAGAACGUUGUAUGAAAGCGUGGCUCAGUACAAAAUGUAUCUAACUACAGAAGAGUAUGUUCAAGUGGCUAAGGCCCUGACUCUGAGGUAUCCCUUUUUAAAAGACAAAGAGGGCAAUGGAUAUGGAAUUUAUUUUGUGAAACUACUUUUUUUUUUUUUUUUUUUUUUGAAUAGCACACUUGGCACGUCUCUGAAACGCAAGUUUAAAUUUGAGCGGACACCUUUGGCUGAUGUUGAAGAAGUGAAAAGACUUUGGUCAUUCAAAAAAAGUCUGCAACCUGAAGAAAGCAGUUGCAAAGAAAUUACAAGGCCUUUGGAGAAUAAUGCUGUUGGAGAGGAUGCUACAUCAAUAGAGGGACAUGUGAAAGUCCUGCAGGACCAAUAUAGAAGGACACAGUCAGAGACUCACAUUGUUGAAUAUCGAAUGAGGAGGAACUUUGCCUGGAGGCGGCAGGAGAUUACUAGUGGUAUGACUGUUGAAGAUGUCAACAAAUAUCCAUCAGGGCCUUAUCAAGAAAUUGGUUUCCUGUAUAAAUGUGUUCAACUGAGCCGCCACUUUCGAGAACAUUUUGGACACAUUACAUCCAGCGUGCUACGGCUUGCUCAAGGGAAAUCCCCUUUAGCAAAGCUGCACAAAGAAGCUAGAGAAGAAUCUCUCAUUGAAGACCAUCUUGUGACUCCUAAACUUUAUUUAGCACUUUAUUAAGCCUAUCAAAUUCUUGCCUUUGAUAGAGUUUUACAUAUUUGUUUGUGUAUCACAUUUUAUGUUCCAGGAAUUGAUUUUAAAGCAGCACUUCUCGUGUUGCCAGCCUUGUUCAGAGAGAAACUUGAACAUUUCAUUGUGCUUGGAGAGGUGCGUAUAUAGUACUCUGUUUUAAAUUUCUGUGCAAUUCUUAAACUGUUUUUUGGCCAAAUGCAAAUGGGUGAAUAUUAAUUAUCUUAGUCUUUAUGCAUGUCAAUUUUCUCUCCAUCAGUUUAGUCAACUGCUGAGAAAAUUUUACUGAUACAGAAUCUGUUUUUUGCUUUGUCAUUUAGAGUGAACCAUCUUCACCAUAUCAUACUGUUCAAGUAGAGGAGACCACUGACUGGAAAACUGUGUUUACAAGAAGAGUCACUGCAGUCAUCAGAGUUGAUGGGAUCGAGAUAGACGAACGGUGUGGAUGAAGGGGCUCUUGCAGCAUUUUGUGCUUAUUUCGUCUUCAAUUUGACAUAUCCAUCCCAUUUGAAGAACACCCUGGUGUUUCUUCAGUGGUAUGUUUUGAGAGUUACUGUGGAUGGUGACAAGCCUCUACCUACCCCAGUUACCAGAAUAAUCAACCUUCUUAACUCAACAUUCUUAACAUAGACACAGACUGGUUAUUGUGUGGCAAGCUUUUAAUUCCUGGGGUUUUUUUGUCGUCAUUUUUACUCAUACUGUGUGAAAUGAGAAUGAAUGGACUGUCCUCUUGCCAGGUGAAGAGGUUGAUUACCAGGCAUUAGAUACCUACAAUGUUGAUGACAAGUUAUUUAUUAGCACUAGAUAUUCUUGCUGAAGACAAACUGCUGCAAACUUCAAAAUGUGCAGUACUUGAUGUAGCCUGUGUAAUAAGGCUGCUUUACUUGUUUGAGUUUUUCAUUGAAGAGCUAGUUUUUUCUUGACACGCUGUUGUGAGAUGUAAUGAAAUCUUUUUAAAAGAACAUUUCUAAAUAAAAUUGUGUAUUUGUCAGCCA
Long non-coding RNA from Cyprinus carpio (common carp), 2066 nucleotides. The record is from Ensembl. Lineage: Eukaryota; Metazoa; Chordata; Actinopteri; Cypriniformes; Cyprinidae.